UAUGCCUGGGCAGGGCGAAGCCAGAGGAAACUCUGGUGGA
This 40-nucleotide non-coding RNA is filed under the name Mus musculus (house mouse). Lineage: Eukaryota; Metazoa; Chordata; Mammalia; Rodentia; Muridae. The record is from RNAcentral.